Molecule: long non-coding RNA, 6643 nt
Filed under: Panax ginseng (ginseng)
Lineage: Eukaryota; Viridiplantae; Streptophyta; Magnoliopsida; Apiales; Araliaceae
Description: long non-coding RNA (PGIN_LNC005249)
Source: RNAcentral
UAUAUGUGUGUGUGUGUGUGUGUGUGUGUGUGUGUGUGAAUUAACAAACUAUCCUUAAUUGAAAAACAUAAACAAUAAGAAUACUUGAGUAAGUGGGGGCGGACGAAAAGCCUCCUCCAAGAGAGUAAUCACCAUCCGGAGCAUCUCGGCGCUCCAAGCAUCGAACUGCUCCUGAGGUAAUCCCGUACUCUCUGCAGAGGCCCCUGCUAUAAUAUCCUGAGCAAUCUGGUGAAGACGAGAACUGGAAGGCAACUGCUAACGCCGAAAGACCGGAUCGGUAUGGAACCUAUCCGACACGGCCCCUAUUAGCCGCCGGAAGAUAUCGUCAUCCAAGCCAGCGCCCGGACAUGUGCUCUCGGACGCUGGCGCUGGCUAGAGCCUAUAAAGAGAUACAAAUUCGAUUACUAAUAAUAAUUUAUAUAAUGUGAUAAAUUCGGAUAAUUUCGUGAAACAUAAAAAAAUAUUACCUCCAGGAAGUGUAUAUGCGGGUAUCCUCGGCAGACCCAACACUCGAUAUCUGCCGGUACUGCUAGCAGGGGGAUCCUGAGACGCGACCCAUAGUCUCAGCUCCUCAUCCCGAUCUAAAGCAAUAUCGGGAAGAGGGGUGGCGGAAUCUAACGGCUCAGAACCCCUCCUAUUAGUCUCCAGCUCAGCUAUACGCUCGUCCCGAAGCUUCUAAAAUUGGUCCUGUAAUGUAUUCCGUAUACGUAUGUUAAUUAUAUCAUUUUAUUUACGAUUGAAUAUUAUUAAAAGCUAAAUAGUAAGAUGAGUUUUACCCGUAUAGCUAAAGCUGCCUGAGACAAGGCACACUUGUCCUUAGGCGUGUGGGCUCGAUCCCAAAACUCUAGCAUGGUAGGAUCUUGGCUCAAAGUCCUCCCCAAUGCCUAAUAUAAACAUUCAUAAAACAGGUCUUAAGUAUUUGUGUGAGAACUUGACACAUAAAUAACUAAAUACAACGCACUUACCGUCUUCGCCUCCUCGAACGACUGAGAACCAGUGGUGUGUACUAUCCGGAGCUGACCACGGUUCUUCUUUGCCUGCUUGGACUUUUUCUUGAAGUCAUCAGCCUCCCAGUGCGCACACAUAGCCUCCCAGGCAAAAUCAGAGACUAUGCGGGGCUGAUGAUCUCUGAUGGUGGUCCCGGGCUGGUCCACAACUGCCCGGGCUACCUUCUAUCGCAUCUCAUACAGCCAUCCAGAGUAAUUCGCAGCGACGUGAUGCUCAAUCACAUCAUCGCCAGCUGACUGAGAGAUGCUUGGGUCAAAUCGAUAACCUAUAACAAAAGAUUAUUUAAAAUUAAGAAAAAUUGAUUUCAUUAUCCCAAUACAACUAUGUAGUGAUAAUAUGCUUAACUUAAGUGGAACUCCCACAAGACGGUCUGCAUAAAAGUGGCAUCGUACCGCACAUACUGACUGAACCACGUGCACCCUCUCGGGAGAUGGGUCAAACAAAUCGCAUGUAGGGUGUGCUUAGCCACCGGGUCUAGUAUACUACAGAAAAAGUAUCACAGUAUGUGUUAUGUGAAUUGUGUUUUGCAAUAACUGAUAGAAAUAGUACGAAUAUAUUAACACUUACUGCUGGGAAACGACAUCCACCGGUACUGUAAGUGGCACUGCCGGCGAACGACCAAAGAUACCGAGGUUCGUCCCUCGGUGUCGUCGACGAGGUGCAUCUGUAAUAAUUGUAUUUAACAUAGUACUUCAAUAAUCAUUGUAAUUAAUGCAGCUUGAGAUAUAUUUAAAUCCUAGUUAAGAUAACUUACUCGCGCCUGAAGAAGAGCCUCCAUCGUGGCUACCGUCUCCAGUACCGGAUCGCCCACCACCUCGGCGACCUCCACCGCUAUGUCUAGCCAUGAAUAUCCUACUGCAAUAACAAAAUUGGUAGAUUACGAAUAUGUAAGGUUUAACAAUAUGUGGUAAGUACUAAUAUGAAAGCUCAUUUUCAAUUACGCACGUCAUCAAACCCAUCAGAAUCAACGUGUAUAUCAUUCUCGGAUUCGGUAUCUUCCUCAUCCUCAGUUUCGAGAUCAGUUUCGUCAUCGUUAUCAUCCUCAACGACUACAUAAUCAUUCAUGUGUAUGUUGGCCUCGACAUCCUCAUCGUUAGGCACGUCAAUGACAUCAGUACUCACCACAUCUUUAGCAUGGAACACUACGGCCAAUGGGUUGCUCACAUCUUCUUGUAAUGCCUCAUCCAUACCAAACAUGUUAUCAGCAUUAAAUGAGCGUGUUUUAGUAGUGACUACUGUGUACCAGGGGCUUCAAGUAUUUACGACAUUAGGAGCGUAAUACACUUGAGUCACUUGACUUGCUAACACGUACAUGUCAUCAGACUUUAACACUGACUUGAUAUCCACGGUUGUGAUUCUAUUACGAUCAACUUUAACCCCCUUUUCAGUAUCAAACCAGCUACACUUAAAUGUAACUUUACCUUUUUGUUGUCGUGAUAAUUAAGCACAACUACAUCCUGUAAACGACCAUAGUAAUUGGACUCAGAAUCUUGGUAGCAGCUUCCUAACACCACAACCCCAGAAUUGACUGAUGUGAGUUCAUGCAAGUCAUCGACUCUAAAUCUGUACCCAUUCACGAUGCAACCGGGAAAAGAACUAACAACUUUGUAAGGUCCUUGGAUGACAUCUAUAAAGCACUCAGAAAUAUUCUCCGCUUCAACCCUUUUCUUAAACCACUGUUGGAAAUUAGCAUUAGUGAAUGUUUCCAAUUCUACUACAGUAAAAGUUGGGUUAGAAGCAUGCGCUUCCUCUUCGAAUGAACUGCGAUAUUAGUAAAAUGUCUUUAACAUAUAUAGAGAUGACUACACUUAUAAAUUGUACUAAGUAAGUGGUACUUAGUUUAUGAGAAUUGUUAUUUGGAAUCUAUAGAGAUUACUGUUCGACAUUCACUCCUACCUACUUAGUUUAUUUUGCCAAUGAUAAACUAAGUAAGUGGUACUUAGUUUAUGAGAAUUGUUAUUUGGAAUCUAUAGAGACUACUACUGUUCGACAUUCACUCCUAGAUACUUAAUUUAUUUUGCCAAUUAAUGAUAAACUAAGUAAGUGGUACUUAGUUUAUGAGAAUUAUUAUUUGGAAUCUACAGAGACUACGUAUUGUUCAACAUUCACUCCUACUUGUCAAACGGGCUUCUAAUUAAUUUAUCUUGUAUUAUAUUAUAUAGUUUUUAAAAAUUUUUUUACUAAAUUCGUUAUUAAAUAUAAUUUAAAUUAUUUUAAUUAAAUUAAAUAAAAUUAUAUUUUAUUCUAUUAUUUUUAUUUUAUUUUAUGUUUUAUUGGAUUGUAUUUUAUUUGUAUUAUAUUAUAUAUUUUAAAAUAUUUUUUAUUAAAUUUAAUUUAUUUAUUAAAUUAAAAUUUAUUUAUUUUUUCAUUAUAUUUUAUUAAAUUUAAAUUAUUAUAAUUUAUUAUUAUUAUUUUGUAUUUUAUUUUAUUUUAUCUUAUUAUUACUCAUAUUAUAUUAUUUUAUUUAAUGUAUUUUAUUUAUUUAUUAGAUAUAAUUUAAGUUAUUUCAUUAACGAACAAUUAUUUUAUUUUAAUUUAAUUAUUUUAUUUUAUUUCAUUUCAUUUUAUCUUAAAUUAUCUUAUCUUAUGUUAUUUAAUUUUAUUAUUUUAUGUUAUAUUAUCUUAAAUUAUUUUAUUUAUGUUUAUAUUAUUUAUAAUAUUAUUUUAUUUUAUUUAGUAGUACAAAACUAAGUAAAUAUUACUAUAAACUAGGUUAUUUUAGUAUUGGAAAUUAAUUAAGUAACAUAUUUAAAUAGUUACAUGGGCCCACAAAAUUUGCAAUUGAAGACUUCUGAUAGAAAUUCAGUCAGAAAUAUCAUGUAAUAAACUGUAAUUGCAUACAGAAAAACAAAUUAAAAUAUUUACCAGAUGCUAUACACUAAACAGAAGCUGCAACAUAAGCUGCAAUCCCAAUUUGCACAGCAGUUUGCAUACCAGUUAGGCAGAACACAAUUUCGGCAACCUAAUUUUCACAACAAUUAGGCAAUUAACACAAAUAAUAACCCUUAUAAUUUCAGCAGAACACAAAUAGAUAUAACCCAUUUCGGCAGAACACAAAUAAUAACCCUUAUAUUAACAAUUAACACUUAAGUCCCAAUUUCAGCAAUGAAUCCGAAAUAUAUAUAGUAGCAGUAAUUAUCAUCAAUAUAUAUAUAUAGUACCAAUUUUAGUGUAAUAUGCACAAUAUAGGGCAAGAAAUUAUACUUAAUUAUACAAAUAAACCAUUACUAACCUUAGGCCUUAGCUAGUUUGAAAACCGGUUAAAGGAGGAGAAGAAGAAAGCGGAGUACAACCCGGCCAGAACGCGAGUCGUCGACGUCGACUGCGUAAAGGAGGGUCGUUAGCAGUGGCGUUGUGUGGAAGGGUGGCCGGCAGUGGGGCUGAGUGCACAGAGUGGUGAAGAGAGAGAGAAAGAGAGAGGCGAACGUACGAUGGCAGGUGAAAAGGGGUGGCGGGGGACCGGCGGUGAUCGGAUGGGUGGGGUGGGGGGGAUGAGAGAGGGAAGGGGAGUACUAGGGGGGACCAGUGUGGGGGCGGGGAGGAUGAGAGAGGGAAGAAGAUCGACUGAGACUGAGAGAAUGAGAGAGGGUGGGGGCGGUGAGGAUGAGAUCGAGGAGGAGUGAGAGAGAUAAAUUAAACGAGCGUCUGAAAUGAAAAGGCAGAAGGUGAAAGGAUUUUAUUUUUAUCUUUGACGGAAUGUCCGUCGGACAUACGUCUCUCGAAAAUAGCUUAAGUUCGACGAAAAUUCCCUCGAAAUUAAUGUUUUUUCGUCGAAAUUACUUUUCGCAGUGGCGCCAAACUUGGCGCCAACUGGAGAGGACUAAGUUCGACUGAAUUCUGUCCUAAUUAAUGUAUUUCCGAGGGACUUAUAUCUGACACAUUAUUCUCUAGGACGUAAUCCUAUUUCGACCGAAUUUAAUCCGUCGAGGAUACGUCAGUCGGAAAUAGGCGGUUUUCUUGUAGUGGAAUAUGUAGCACCUAAAGUCUGGGUAAGCUAUAGGAUAAAUUAAACUGCUCAAGAUUAGCUUGAGAUCAAUUUAUAUGAAAUUGUUUUGGCUUCAUUUACCAACCUGAUAGAGCUGAGCACAAUCUUCUUUUAGCCAUUUAGGCUCAGAAAAAGUAAAAUCCAGCUUAAGUAAACAAGUGCUAAGCCUGUUAAAGCAAGUAAAAAGCUGUGUUAAUAUAGACAUGGAUCUUCUGUAAUUUAAUAUAAACGUGAAGUGGCCUUGCUAAGGGCCAAGAAACUUGAAUUUAUUACUAACUCUUUUUAACAGGAGCUACCACCUACCAAAAGAGUUAACAAGUUGAUGUAAUUUAUGAAAGAAGUUGUUGUAAUUGUUUGAGCUAGUGAACUGUCGUACACAUCAUUAAGAGAAGACAUGAAACCAAUUAUUAACAAGGAUUGAAAUUCUAUUAUACCUCUACAAAAAGAUCAUCCAUUCGUACACAUGAUUAUUGGCCCCUUCUAAUUUUAUGACUAAUUAGAUCUCAAAAAAAGAUCAGCAAUUUAUACCAAGUUGAUCUUGUGUCCUUCGAAAAACCCUUUCAUGAAAUACAUGUCCACGUAACAUAGUCUUGAUACUUAGAUCUUUAUUUCUCAGUUGAAACCUGGCUUGUGUAAUGAGGACCAAUUGAAAAGCAGGUCAACAUAACAUAUGAUUUAUUGGGGGCUCUAUAAAGAAAAGCACUGGACCAAUUCAAAUGUUGCUCAUACUCCCUAUUCUUUUUUGUAGGCGUAUAUUAAGAGAAAAGGGACUUGAAAAUCUAGAAAUCCAAGACCAUAGUUGAACCAAAGAGAUGAAAGUGAAUGAAACUACAUGAAAAUUAGUGCAAGCCUCUUGGGGAAUCCCUCCACAUUCGAUCCAAUUAAUCACAAAUAUUUCAAAAAGUUUCACUUCUAUAAGUUGGUAGAUCUCAGAAAAAGAGUAAGGCUUAUUUACAGGCUUGUUGUACUAAAGUUAAUCAUUCUAGUUCAUUACAAUAUCAAUAUGGUAGACUGGUAGUUAUAUGUCAUUAACAACACCAUAUAAUUUUUAUAUUAACAACCUCCUAUAAUUUUUAUUACUUAUUUUGAAAAAAAAUGAUUCUCAAUAAUUACUAUAAAUCUAGAACUAAGCUAACUCCAAAACUUUCAAGAUCAGAUACAUAAUGUUCAUCCCAUUAAUAUCCCCUACCACAGAAUUACCAAAAAUCAUCACAUUAUUAGCUGUAGACGGAAAAAUAUGAACAACCCAGAAUUAAAAAGAAUGAUAUCUUAACUGGGUAAAUUUCUAAUUCAAGUAUCAUGUCACAUACUUCACAAAUUCUACAGAUGGACAAUUACAGAGAAUAACCUUUAACUGGGUAAACUCUAAAAUUCAAUCGACGGUGUAAAAGAAAGAAACUUUUUUUACCUGCUUAGCCGCCUUGAUGAGAUCAGAGCUCAUGACCUUGGGUUGAUCGGAAAAAAUGGAGAUACUUGGCAUUUCUUUUCUAAUCUAGUGUUCCUUACAAAUAGUACAUCUUUCUCGAAUCACGGGAUGAUUUUUCUAUGGUUAACGACUAUGAUUCCACAAUUGAGGCCUGAUCCUUGUAAUCCGUGAAUCGAGACGUGCAAAUCUACUUCAGCGUUCCGAUACUUGUUCUACACUACGGG